GCGGCGCGCUUACGCAUGCAAGUCGAGCGAUGAGGUCCCUUCGGGGAGUCAUCAGCGGCAGACGGGUGAGUAACACGUAGAUAACCUGCCCUCAAGACGGGGACAACCGGUGGAAACAGCGGCUAAUACCCGAUAUGCUCACAGGAUCGGGAGAUCGAGUGAGGAAAGCGCCCCUUCGGGGGAGAGUGUUUGAGGAGGGAUCUGCGGCCCAUCAGCUAGUUGGUGAGGUAACGGCUCACCAAGGCGAAGACGGGUAGGGGGUGUGAGAGCAUGGCCCCCCACAAUGGGACUGAGACACGGCCCAUACUCCUACGGGAGGCAGCAGCGGGGAAUAUUGCGCAAUGGACGGAAGUCAGACGCAGCGACGCCGCGUGGGUGAGGAAGGCCUUCGGGUUGUAAAGCCCUUUUCAGGGGAGCGAGAAAGGACGGUACCCUUGGAAUAAGCGUCGGCUAACUACGUGCCAGCAGCCGCGGUAAGACGUAGGACGCAAGCGUUAUCCGGAUUUACUGGGCGUAAAGCGCCUGUAGGCGGUCAAGUAAGUCGGAUGUGAAAGCCCCGUGCUCAACGCGGGGAAGCCAUUCGAUACUGCGUGACUAGAGAACGGCAGAGGGAAACGGAAUUUCUGGUGUAGCGGUAAAAUGCCGCAGAGAUCAGAAAGAACACCGAUGGCGAAGGCAGUUUCCUAGGCCGCAUCUGACGCUGAGAGGCGAAAGCUAGGGGAGC
RNAcentral lists this ribosomal RNA (724 nucleotides) under uncultured organism. RNAcentral's name for it is "bacterial SSU rRNA". It matches the Rfam family "Bacterial small subunit ribosomal RNA", at positions 39 to 769 of the family's 1533-position model. The record is from RNAcentral.